Molecule: ribosomal RNA, 253 nt
Filed under: uncultured bacterium
Lineage: Bacteria
Description: partial 16S ribosomal RNA
Rfam family: Bacterial small subunit ribosomal RNA
Source: RNAcentral
UACGAAGGGUGCAAACGUUGCUCGGAAUUAUUGGGCGUAAAGCGCCCGUAGGCGGCAUUGCAAGUCGGAUGUGAAAUCUUAUGGCUUAACCAUAAAAGUGCAUCCGAAACUGCAGUGCUUGAGUACUUAAGAGGAUCGCGGAAUUCCCGGUGUAGAGGUGAAAUUCGUAGAUAUCGGGAGGAACACCAGUGGCGAAGGCGGCGAUCUGGGAAGAUACUGACGCUGAGGUGCGAAAGCGUGGGGAGCAAACAGG